This 483-nucleotide ribosomal RNA is filed under the name uncultured bacterium. RNAcentral's name for it is "partial 16S ribosomal RNA". It matches the Rfam family "Bacterial small subunit ribosomal RNA", at positions 30 to 506 of the family's 1533-position model. The record is from RNAcentral.
AUUGAACGCUGGCGGCAGGCCUAACACAUGCAAGUCGAGCGGAUGAAGGGAGCUUGCUCCUGGAUUCAGCGGCGGACGGGUGAGUAAUGCCUAGGAAUCUGCCUGGUAGUGGGGGAUAACGUCCGGAAACGGGCGCUAAUACCGCAUACGUCCUGAGGGAGAAAGUGGGGGAUCUUCGGACCUCACGCUAUCAGAUGAGCCUAGGUCGGAUUAGCUAGUUGGUGGGGUAAAGGCCUACCAAGGCGACGAUCCGUAACUGGUCUGAGAGGAUGAUCAGUCACACGGGAACUGGGGACCGGUCCAGACCCCUACGGGGGGGAGGAGGGGGGAAUUUUGGACAAUGGGCGAAAGCCGGACCCAGCCCAGCCGCGGGGGUGAAGAAGGUUUUCGGAUUGUAAAGCACUUUAAGUUGGGAGGAAGGGCAGUAAGUUAAUACCUUGCUGUUUUGACGUUCCCAACAGAAUAAGCACCGGCUAACUUCGU